CUACGGGUGGCUGCAGUUAGGGAUAUUGCACAAUGGGGGGAACCCUGAUGCAGCAACGCCGCGUGGAGGAUGACGCAUUUCGGUGUGUAAACUCCUUUUAUAUGUCAAGAAAAUGACGGUAGCAUAUGAAUAAGCACCGGCUAACUCCGUGCCAGCAGCCGCGGUAAUACGGAGGGUGCAAGCGUUACUCGGAAUCACUGGGCGUAAAGGACGCGUAGGCGGGUUGGAAAGUCAGGUGUGAAAUCCUACAGCUUAACUGUAGAACUGCACUUGAAACUUCUAAUCUAGAGUAUGGGAGGGGGAGAUGGAAUUAGUGGUGUAGGGGUAAAAUCCGUAGAUAUCACUAGGAAUACCUAAAGCGAAGGCGAUCUCCUGGAACAUUACUGACGCUAAGGCGUGAAAGCGUGGGGAGCAAACAGGAUUAGAUACCCCUGUAGUC
Molecule: ribosomal RNA, 439 nt
Filed under: uncultured bacterium
Lineage: Bacteria
Description: partial 16S ribosomal RNA
Rfam family: Bacterial small subunit ribosomal RNA
Source: RNAcentral